RNAcentral lists this ribosomal RNA (440 nucleotides) under uncultured bacterium. RNAcentral describes it as "partial 16S ribosomal RNA". It matches the Rfam family "Bacterial small subunit ribosomal RNA", at positions 338 to 795 of the family's 1533-position model. The record is from RNAcentral.
CCUACGGGUGGCAGCAGUGGGGGAUAUUGCACAAUGGGGGAAACCCUGAUGCAGCGACGCCGCGUGUGGGAAGACGGUCCUCUGGAUUGUAAACUACUGUCCUCAGGGACGAAGAUGACGGUACUUGGGGUGGAAGCUCCGGCUAACUACGUGCCAGCAGCCGCGGUAAUACGUAGGGAGCAAGCGUUGUCCGGAAUUACUGGGUGUAAAGGGAGCGUAGGCGGGUUGGCAAGUUGUGUGUUAAGUCUACCGCCUAAACGGGUAGUCGCACUCGAAACUGCUAUUCUUGAGUGAAGUAGAGGCAGGCGGAAUUCGUAGUGUAGCGGUGAAAUGCGUAGAUAUUAGGAAGAACACCAGUGGCGAAGGCAGCCUGCUAAGCUGUUACUGACGCUGAGGCUCGAAAGUGUGGGGAGCAAACAGGAUUAGAUACCCCUGUAGUC